RNAcentral lists this transfer RNA (73 nucleotides) under Minisyncoccota bacterium. RNAcentral's name for it is "tRNA-Thr". It matches the Rfam family "tRNA". Rfam says of the family: Transfer RNA (tRNA) molecules are approximately 80 nucleotides in length. Their secondary structure includes four short double-helical elements and three loops (D, anti-codon, and T loops). Lineage: Bacteria; Bacillati; Minisyncoccota. The record is from RNAcentral.
GCCGAAGUAGCUCAGUUGGUAGAGCAUUGCUUUCGUAAAGCAAGGGUCCCCGGUUCGAUCCCGGGCUUCGGCU